This 253-nucleotide ribosomal RNA is filed under the name uncultured bacterium. RNAcentral's name for it is "partial 16S ribosomal RNA". It matches the Rfam family "Bacterial small subunit ribosomal RNA", at positions 524 to 776 of the family's 1533-position model. The record is from RNAcentral.
UACGUAGGUGGCAAGCGUUGUCCGGAAUUACUGGGCGUAAAGCGUGCGCAGGCGGUUUUGUAAGUUUGUCGUGAAAGCCCCGGGCUCAACCUGGGAAUUGCGAUGAAGACUGCAAGGCUUGAAUCUGGCAGAGGGGGGUAGAAUUCCACGUGUAGCAGUGAAAUGCGUAGAGAUGUGGAGGAACACCGAUGGCGAAAGCAGGCUACUGGACCGUCACUGACUCUGAUCUGCGAAAGCUAGGGGAGCAAACAGG